UAAAUUCAAUUAAAGAAGAAUCCUACUAAAACUCUUCUUCUUUUUUCGUAGCUUCAUCUUUUUAAUUGAAUCUCUGAUCUUAGUUAAUGAUCUUACACUAGCAAAAAGUUUUUUCUAUACUAUCUUUCUUCUGCUAUUCUUUACAAGGGUGAGGUGAAUUUGAGCUAUUUAUAAUCUGAAGAAAUAAUUUUAACCUUUUUUUAUACUGAUUGCGUUGUUCGUAGUGACAUUUAUUACCUUCUAUUUGAACACUUCUAACACUAAAAUUCCAUUUAUAAAUUCAAUUUGAGUUGUACCUGAAACGGGAUAUUCAAUUGAAAUUUAGGCACUUUUUUUAUUUUUCGCUAGCCCUCUUUCUCCACUCUAGUCUGAAGUUUAGUAACUUUCAUCGUUGAUGAAAACCUAUACUAAUAAGACAGAUACAUUUGAGAAAAGUGUGUGUGUGAGGGGGGGGAAGGAUAUUAAUACGAUUGAGAUGAGGGAGAAUUGAUACAAUUGAGAUGAGGGAGGUUGAUACAAUUGAGAGAUGGGAGAUCAAUACAAUUGAGGUGAUAGAUGUAUUAUUCCAUCUAUCACCUCAAUUAUAUCAAUCCCCCAUUUCUCAAUUGUAUCAACCCCUCCUCAUCUCAUUUGUAUAGAUCCUCCCUCAUCUCAGUUUGCAUCAUUCUUCCUUCCACCAUUUUCAAUUGUAUUCAUUUGUCUUAUUAGUCCAGGUGUUCGUCAAUGAUGAAAACUGCUUAACUUUAGACUCUACUAGAGAAAGAAAGCUACCGCAACAUAGAAUAAGUGUGAAUUUCAAUUGGAUACCCUUUUUAUGUUUUCCAGGUGCAAUUCAAGUUGAAUUUAUAAAAUAGACUUAAGUGCGUAUUCAAAUCUAAGGAAAUAAAUGUGGCGAACAACUCAACCAGUAUAGAAAAGGUUAAAAUUGCGUAUUAGUUCAAAUGGCAUCAUUGCAAUUAGAAGUGAGGAAGCAGCAAACUCAUUACUUUCCUUUUCUCUUCCCUUGUACAAUAGGAGAACAUCUAGUUGCAAGUAUUUGGGGUGCUCCAUUGGAAAUUCCAGUAUAACCUAGGAGUUAUUUGGUCUCUAUAUAUGUUUGUCUUUUUUCCUCUUUCCAUUUUUCUUGUGUUGGCUGCGGUUUGGUUUUUACACUAGCUAAAUUCAGGACUAUGUAGGGACGAGGGGUUUCAUCUGGACACUCUUCGGUGGAAAUUUACUUUAUGUAUAUAUAGUGGAUAUUGACCUCCCUUUAGAUUCUUCAUGUGUUUACUUCUUCGUAUUUUAAACUCCAUUAACAACACUAAUUUGUGUCAAAAUGAUGGAAAGGUUAGAUCUAAUUUCGAAAUUGACAGUCCCAAUUUUGGAUCACAUUUUGUCUUUCCUUCCAGUUAAAGAUGCUGCUAGAACCAGUGUAUAGUCCAAGCAAUGGAACAAAUUCUGGCAAAACGGCAAAACCAGAAUAUUUCUAUACAGAGGUUCAAGAUGAUAGAUUUAAGAAAGUAUGUGAAUGUAGAUAGUUGGUUUAAAAUACUGGUAGCCUAUGAUAUUUACGUGCCGGCUAAUUACGACAUAUUUUACACUUUUAACUAAAGAUAAUUUUAAGUUUUCAAGCAAUCGUUGAUAUUUUUAGCGUGUUUGGUGUUGACUUUCAGGAUAUAAGUCCAAUGACAGAAAAGUGGGAAAAUUAUAUUGAAAUGAGUGUGACGGCUCUUCUAAACUGCCAAUGCUAAAACAGACUGAGUAACUUUUGACCCAUUGAUGAUGGAUCUAGCGACGACAACCUGCCAAGAGCCUAACGAAUCAUCAGACAAACCGGUAGUGCUAAGCAGAAUCUAUGUUCAAGGGGAAGCGGGUGACAAGUCAAGCGACGAACUGUCUCGUGUGCGACGAGCCGUCAGUCGAGUCAUUAGAGAGGAAGCGGAAGCCCAGAUUCGAAAUUUAUUUCCCACAUCCUUGGAGCCUAUAAAUGGCUAGUCUAGGGUUUAGAACAGGCAUCUUUUCACGCUUUAAAUAUUUUUUGUAAUGUACUUUCUCUGGGGAAUCGUUUUUUUUAGGGUGAAAAACACAUCUUCUUGAUUUUUUUCAAGGAUUGGAG
RNAcentral lists this long non-coding RNA (2095 nucleotides) under Capsicum annuum. RNAcentral's name for it is "long non-coding RNA (CANN_LNC021319)". Lineage: Eukaryota; Viridiplantae; Streptophyta; Magnoliopsida; Solanales; Solanaceae. The record is from RNAcentral.